GUGUUCGUAGGAAAGGAGAGAUGGUUGGCAUCUCCCCCGACAGGGACGGGAACAGCCUUCGGGCUUUACCUGUUAUCAGACACAUCCGCUUCGGUGGAUCUUAACCAAUUUUUUU
This 115-nucleotide non-coding RNA is filed under the name Solanum lycopersicum (tomato). The record is from RNAcentral. Lineage: Eukaryota; Viridiplantae; Streptophyta; Magnoliopsida; Solanales; Solanaceae.